CUUUACUAUAGCCUGGAAUUGUGUUCGGGCUUCGCUUACGCAGGAUAGGUGGGAGGCUGUGAAGUUCUGCUUGUGGGCAGAAUCGAGCCAACGGUGAGAUACCACUUUAGCGAGGCUAGAAUUCUAACCCUUACCCGUCAUCCGGGAAGGAGACAGUUUCAGGGGGGUAGUUUGACUGGGGCGGUCGCCUCCUAAAAGGUAACGGAGGCGCGCAAAGGUCCCCUCAGGCUGGUUGGAAAUCAGCCAGAGAGUGCAAAGGCAUAAGGGAGCUUGACUGCAAGACCUACAAGUCGAGCAGGGUGGAAACACGGUCUUAGUGAUCCGACGGUUCUGUGUGGAAGGGCCGUCGCUCAACGGAUAAAAGUUA
This 367-nucleotide ribosomal RNA is filed under the name uncultured organism. Its description in RNAcentral is "bacterial LSU rRNA". It matches the Rfam family "Bacterial large subunit ribosomal RNA", at positions 2099 to 2465 of the family's 2925-position model. The record is from RNAcentral.